This 313-nucleotide ribosomal RNA is filed under the name Bacillus velezensis. RNAcentral's name for it is "bacterial LSU rRNA". It matches the Rfam family "Bacterial large subunit ribosomal RNA", at positions 2248 to 2560 of the family's 2925-position model. The record is from RNAcentral. Lineage: Bacteria; Bacillati; Bacillota; Bacilli; Caryophanales; Bacillaceae.
GAGACAGUGUCAGGUGGGCAGUUUGACUGGGGCGGUCGCCUCCUAAAAGGUAACGGAGGCGCCCAAAGGUUCCCUCAGAAUGGUUGGAAAUCAUUCGCAGAGUGUAAAGGCACAAGGGAGCUUGACGGCGAGACCUACAAGUCGAGCAGGGACGAAAGUCGGGCUUAGUGAUCCGGUGGUUCCGCAUGGAAGGGCCAUCGCUCAACGGAUAAAAGCUACCCCGGGGAUAACAGGCUUAUCUCCCCCAAGAGUCCACAUCGACGGGGAGGUUUGGCACCUCGAUGUCGGCUCAUCGCAUCCUGGGGCUGUAGUC